Molecule: small nuclear RNA, 107 nt
Organism: Sciurus vulgaris (Eurasian red squirrel)
Lineage: Eukaryota; Metazoa; Chordata; Mammalia; Rodentia; Sciuridae
Source: Ensembl
GUGCUCGCUUUGGUGCCACAUAUACUAAAAUUGGAAGGAUACAGAGAAGAUUAAGAUGGCCCCUGCACAAGGAUGACAUGCAAAUUCAUGAAGAGUUCUGUGUUUUU